This 1127-nucleotide long non-coding RNA is filed under the name Olea europaea (common olive). RNAcentral describes it as "long non-coding RNA (OEUR_LNC008835)". Lineage: Eukaryota; Viridiplantae; Streptophyta; Magnoliopsida; Lamiales; Oleaceae. The record is from RNAcentral.
AAAACUUACGGGUUCUAUUGAAUGUUUGGUUGAAAAUAUUUUUGGGGAAAGUGAUUUUUAAAAAAUCUCUCCCAAACAAAACCCGUAAGUUCAUAUUUUAUUGUUAUACCCCUCUCUAGACAUUUGAUUUAUUGGGGUUCAGUCAUUUUUUAGAUUUCCAUUUCGGAUAUGAAUUUGCAAGAGUAUUAGAUUAGAUGUCUCUUGCUCUAAUCCACAUGAUACUUUACAAAUGUUACCUGUUAUGGCUGUCGGAUAUGGAUUUUUUAGGACUAAAUCCACACGUAAAGCUUGACUAAUGUUCGUUGCUGUUUUGUUAGCGUGGUUAUUGUUGCUUGAGUAUUACAAUCAACUGUUGCUUGACAUAUUUCUGAUGAAACUUGUUUUGUUGACACGCGCUAACAAUCUCUAUCCUUUCUCUGUGUAGUAUCUAGUUUUUUAUUAGUGUAAUAACAUUUCUUUCACAAAUCUUUUGAUUUGAUGCAGUGCCAUCUUAAUUCUGUUGAUGUGUUAUUGGCAACAUGCACCAGUCCUUGUGUGAAAGAUGGGAAGAACUAGUUCAUUGAACCUUGGUUCAUGGAUUUCUUUGAAUCUCCAAACCCAGUUAAUUGGAAGACAUUGAUGUUCUCCUUGUCUGUGCUCGACGCCAUAGAAAAUUGUACAACUUUGUUAAAUUUGCCUGGCUUUGUACUAAUAAUUUGGUGACAUUAUACCUUGCUCUGGAUUUAUCUUUACCUGGUUAGGUUGUUUAAUGUACUGAGGAGAGUAUUUUCGAGAGAAGCAAAAUCAGUAAACAGCCACAAAUGGGUGGUGGCUCGACUUUACUGCGUUCAUUUCAAGUAGUUGGCACAAGUACUCAGAUUUGUUAGAUUGUGGGCUCCAUUUUAAAUAUAUAUUCGGUUAAGUUGCGUAGAUGCUAUAUAUUUGCUGAACAAGGUAGGCCUCUGGGUUUACUUUGUGCUUUUUUGAGUUCAUAUAACUUGCAAGGCAGUCUUUCAUUAGUAAUUUGAUUGCUAUAAUUUAUAAUUAUUGGGAACUUUAAAAUUUCUUGAUGUUCAAAUUUAUGAGAAAAGUGGGUCUUACUUAUGAGUGAAGAAGUCAAAAAUGACGGUCGGAAUUGUGAAAUAAUG